CGCAGCCGCGGUAAUUCCAGCUCCAAUAGCGUAUAUUAAAGUUGUUGCAGUUAAAAAGCUCGUAGUUGAAUUUCAGGCCUGGCUGGACGGUCCGCCCUUCGGGUGAGUACUGUCUGUGGUCGGGUCCUACCUUCUGGCGAAGCGUCAUGGCCUUAACCGGCCGUGGCGGGGAACCAGGACUUUUACUGUGAAAAAUUAGAGUGUUCAAAGCAGGCAAUCGCUUGGAUACAUUAGCAUGGAAUAAUGGAAUAGGACAAUGGUUCUAUUUGUUGGUUUCUAGGACCGUUGUAAUGAUUAAUAGGGAUAGUUGGGGGCAUUAGUAUUCAAUUGUCAGAGGUGAAAUUCUUGGAUUUAUUGAAGACUAACUACUGCGAAAGCAUUUGCCAAGGAUGUUUUCAUUAAUCAAGAACGAAAGUUAGGGGAUCGAAGACGAUCAGAUACCGUCGUAGUCUUAACCAUAAACUAUGCCGACUAGGAAUCGGGCGAUGUUGAAAAAUGACGCGCUCGGCACCUCAUGGGA
RNAcentral lists this ribosomal RNA (520 nucleotides) under uncultured Paraglomus. RNAcentral's name for it is "SSU rRNA". It matches the Rfam family "Eukaryotic small subunit ribosomal RNA", at positions 569 to 1095 of the family's 1831-position model. Lineage: Eukaryota; Fungi; Glomeromycota; Glomeromycetes; Paraglomerales; Paraglomeraceae. The record is from RNAcentral.